GGUGACAAGAGCAGCUCUCUGUCCCUUCCCUUCUCCAAAUGCUGCAAGAAGUGGGAUGUGAGCUCUCAAAUGUCACAGAAGCCUACAAAAUGCUGACUCCCGGAUGCCGUGCAUAACUGGGGUUGGCUCAGAACGUGGAGACAGGGCAACACCAUCAUCUGCUAAGAAUUCAUUGUUCUGCAGCUUGCCCUGGACACAAUGAGAGAGAGAGAAGUAUGGACAUUUAGACCUCAACUGGAGGCAUUGAUUGGAAGGAUUUCUCCCAGAGUUGGCCCACUCGGAAACCAGGCAUGUACUGGUUCCCAUCUGGCUGCACAUGAGAAUCAUCUGGGAAGCGCAGGAAAACCAGGACAAGGCCACACCCCUGGAGACGCUCGUUCAAUUGGUCUGGGCACCAAGGCCUGAGACCCACUGAGUGGGAACAUGAGCCAAGGUUUGUGACCUGAGACCAAAUAUUUUCAGACACUGCAACAGCAAAACCAACAAAUGCCUCUUGAAUGUCUGGGAGAAAAGGCAGGAGAUUCACACAUUUUGCAGUGUGUAGAUGCUAUCUUGGUGGAUGGAGGAUUUCCCCUCAUCCUAAGGAGGAGACUGAGAUGUACAGAGGAGAUUUUUAUCUCGAGAUAAAUGUUACCGAACUGAAGAGGAUCUUUGAACAUCUUUCCCAGGAAGGGCAUGAGAUGGGUGUGGCUACAUAAUGAAACAUUAUUUGUCUGAAAACAUCUUUCUCAUCCACACUCAUGGCUUUGCAUAUGACAAUUUCUCCCACCGUUGACUUUUGGCCUUGUAGUUGAUGAGACACCUGAAGCUAGACUGACUCCAGCUGUCUCUUAUUUCAUAGACACCAUGUCAGCUUGAGUCUUGAAGACACCAUUUAGAGAUGAUCCAACCUCUUUGCUUCUCAGGACUAUGGACAGACACUCAUUGGGAUUCCUCAGGAACAUUCUUCUCAUAUAAUACAUCUGUUCAUGUGGCAAUUUCUUUCAUCAUCAUCUGUAUUGAGAAAGAUCUACUUUGUCCAGUGCCAUGUGAAGUUAAGGAGGGCUCCAUGCAAGACUUUAUUCAAUAUUGGGCCAGGCAUCCAUACCAUGCAAGGAAUGACAGCAGACUGGGUUCUGCACUCAUUGUUCCUGGUGUCCUUUCUUGAGGUGUUGAUAGGACACAGAUGGUCCAGCCACACCCCAUACUUUGGCCUUCUGAGAAUUCUCAGCAGGAAAGGAGGAUAGAUCUCACUGGCACACCUUGGAGGCCACCUUUCAGGUCAAAAGAAUAUAUCAGUGAAUGUUUUCUGAGAAUGCCCUGGUUAAAAAUUUCCUGCCUUUCCCCAAAACUCAUAGGUGAUCCCAUGUGGGGUGUGUCCGGGGAUCCACUCAUGUAAGUUCACCGACGCUGUUUUACCUCACCUGGUACCUCCCCUAACUGUGAAUUCUUUUUAACUCCUACUUCUCCACUUUGUUCAACUGGAUAAUUUUAUUUUGUCAAGAGUCUUGCAGAGACCACAUUGCAUUAUCUUGACAGCACGUUCCUGAUAGCAUUUCUCUCACCAGUCCUACAACACUAAAAAAGGAAGCAAAGUUAGUCUCACUGGCUCUCUGGGAGGUUUCAUUCACAAGACUCAGGUUUUCCCUUAUCUGCUAAAAUGCUUUGGUCUAGAAUUUCCCUGGGAGUAUCAAGUUUUAUCCUCUCUAAAGAAUCUUGAGGCAUUUUUACAUAUUUAAAAUCAGAAACAUAUUUGUCUUUUUCUACUCUCAGGGCCAUUUUUACACUUGCCACUCUUGCUUACGAAUACCAACAAGGACGGCGCCAUUGUUGCUGCAAGUUUUCUCAGGCCCUGAGGUGAGCUAGGAAAGGACAUCUGCGUGAACGUUCCUGCCACCUAGGCAGGCUAUCAGCCCUGAAGAUGAGUCUCAGCCUCCAGAGCUUCCUAGGCUUGGCAUGUUGAUCUGCUCCUGGAGUUUGUCAAGGAAAAGCAACACACACUAUGUUUGUGGACCAGUCAGUGCCUUUCCUCUGAAUUCAAGCCAUUCAAACAAAUCAACUCAGGAAAAUAUACAGUGACUCCUGGUUCAAGUUUCCCCAAGAAUACCAGAGUUCCUAUAGGAUAUGACCACAUGAAAUGGAACCUGACAGCAGAAAAACCGUUGAUGUCCUCUGUCCAGGUUCAGAGGGAGCACAGAGUUCACAUCCCCACCUUCAACACCGAUGGAAGGCAUUGUGAGUGCCCAUGGCCCCAGGAGGAAGCCAGAAAGUUCACUGAGAAUUGGAUGGGGACAGUGACCUGAGACUCUGGAUGGUGCUUCUUCCAGGUCUCUCAACAGCCAGGAAUGCAGUGUCAGGAAUGGGUCAGAAUGGAGUCCUCGGCACCAGCCCAGGCUGAGGUGGGGAAGGCCUGGUGAGGUCUUGGGAGGUUGGCCAGGACUGAUGGCUUUCAGUUCAGUAGAGGGAGGAGGCCCAACAACCGUCCCAAUCCAAACCAAACUUUCCAGCUUGGCCUAACGCAGGAGACAGGAGACAUUACCCACACCAUGUCUGUGCAAAGGAAACCCACUCCAAGAUGGCUCCGCCAAAGUCUACCAAGUCUCCUCGGAGUGGAUAGUGAGCUGGCCUCUAAAAACCUUAGUUUUUUUAAAAAAAUGUUCAUUCCCUUUAUCUUCUUGAGAAUUCACAAAGGACAAAUAUACCCUGUGACAAGUCUCCCUCUCACCCUAUCCCUAGCUAGCCAGGCCCCCUCCCUGGGGACAGUGACAUAAGGGGCCUCGUGCACAUGACUUCCUGGCACUCCCUUCCUUGUAAGAAGGGUCCUCUGAUGAGUGAAGGGUACCUCUUUGGUCUCCUCUGGCUCACAUACAGGCAUGUAGAAAAUUCCAGUCUCUUUCAGUGUCUUUAUUCCUUGGGAAGCCCCAGGACACUGUUCCACGUGGCAUGGAGAAAGAGAGCAUAAAACUGCACAUCUCCAGCAUCUGGCAGAUGGCACACAUGCAAUGUUUUCUUCCACCAAACAUCAAAUGAGCUCCUUUUCUGUGCAAACUUGCUAGAUGCUGCAGAAGAGGAAGCCAUGAACGAGCAAGUCAUGCUCUCCUUUCGCAGGAUGUUAGACCUGGGUGAGGUUGGGACCCACCCUCUAGUUGAUGGGGAGACAAGCAAGAGAAAACAAAGGAGUGAAGAGGAGGAGGCAGCAAGACUACAGGCAAAACCUUGAGAACUGAUGCAACAGGGGCCGGGAAAGGAGAGAGGGAGCUUGUUCCCUAUGGAUUGGAGCCACUCUACAGCCCUACCAUUUCAUCUUCACAGCUACUUAAAUGUGGCAUUUCCUUCUCCACACCUGGCUGAGGUGGGGCCAAGGGAAGAGGAUUCUAGAACAAGAUUUAAUGGGCCCUGUCUUGGAUCAUGGUCAGUUGAGGAUGGCCCUGGAAUCUUCUCAGCCAGACUGUGUAUCCCUUGAGGUCAGGUGUGGACAGAACAAGUGGCUGCAUGUUUCAUUCAUCAUUACCAGACAAACAAGUAUUAUUUUCCCAUUUCUGAGACAAGGAAACAGAAUCAGAGAGGUUAAGUAACUUGCUCAAGGUUGCUCUGCAGGCUAGAGUCAGAGCUAGCUGGAUCAGGAACCCAGGGCUGUCUGGUUAUUCCAGCUCAGAUCUCUUUUCCCCCCUCUAGGCCUUGUUCACCUUGAUGCUCCUUGAUAUCCUUUUUGAUGACUGAUUUGAUUUUUGUGUAAAUUAGGGGUUUUCCAUGUUCCCAACUUUUAACUUCAAAACCUAAGCCCAAUUUCACAGCCUUUCCACAUGUUGGGAUAGCAAGUUGUGACUGUGCCCCCCUCUGCAUGUUUCUUAAUCACUGUGCUUCAAAUGUGCUCAGAAAAACAAAGGUAUCUUUCACGUUACUUCCUGGUAAAACAACUCUGCAUCUGGUGUUGCUAAAUUCUAGAGCAAUUUGUCCCAGUUGUUAUAAGACUGAUUUCAUUCUCAUUUUAAAAUUUGAGUUUUUAUAGGCAUACACACUAACCUGACGACUUUGUACAUCUCAUUAAUAUGUUCAAACUCAAUUUGUGAUGAAUAUAGAUCAUGGUUCUUGUACUUAUGUGCAGAAGAGAGCACAUAUGUGUCCAUUUACUAAGUUAUUAAACAUGCCACACAUGCUAGCAUCAGGCGAUAACUCUCACUAUUAAUGUUUCCAUUUCCAAAACAGAUACAUAGAAUAAGGCCCACAUUCCCUUCUGGUCAAGUGGGUUGUAGAGACCUGGGCCAUUCCACUGUACGGCCUUGGUGUGUUAUUAUAGCCUCAAAAUUCUCAUAUUUCUAUAUGUGUAAGCUCUGUCAUGGUUUGGAUAUUUGUAAUGAUAGGAGCCUGAAUAGGAAAAAUCUUCUAGGAAAUAUUUCUAGAAAGAUCUAGGACCACUAUGGGAAACUGAGACCCACACCCCGCCCCGUAUCAGUACACCUUGGCAACUAUCUAUCGUGGUUCUGAUGUCUUCUAAUCCCUGCAUAUGCCUUCACUUGCCUCCGUAGCACUCAAUGAAAUGUUCCAGAAUCUUCUAUAUGAGAAUACACCACUCACUUAAGCACACCCCACCAAAGGAAAAUGCUAACAAUAGUGUAGCCAGCUUCCAAGACAAACUAAAAUCUACUCACAGCCUCACCCAUACUUAUCAGUGUCAAAGCAAUGAUGCAUCUAAUGAUGAUAAACAUAUGCUUGAGGAAGAACAGAUCUUUAGAGCAAGGAGGGAUGAUGAAAAUGAGGUAGAGAAGGCAUUUCUUAAGGCUGUGACUAGAAUCUAGGUCUCUGAGCUGCUCGCCAGGACCAACUAAUGGGUACACGGCUCAAGUUCAAAUUCGAUUUUUCCUCCUUCUCUAAAUGUAUUAGUUUCCUAUUACUGCUGAAACAAACUACUACAAGUUUUGAGACUUAAAACCACACAAAUGUAUCAUCUUACAGUUCUGGAGGUCAGAAGUGUGAAAUGAGUCUCAAAGGGGGCAAGAAGCAAGGUGGCAUCACUAUCACAAUUUCUAGAGACAGUAGGGAAGAAUGUGCUUCUCGACCUUUCUUUCAGCCUGAAUUCUUAAACUUCUUCCCUCUUCACAGCUCCUGUUCUGAUUUUUACCCUCUUGCCUUCCUCUUGAUGAGGGUCUGUGUGAUUAUAAUGUGCUGACCCAUCCAGGGUAAUCUCAUUUCCAAAGUUACAUCUACAAAGUCCCUUCUGAUGUGUAAGGUAAAAUAGUCACAAUUCCAGGGGAUCAGGGGGUGGACAUCUCUGGGGGACAAUUAGGACAAGCCUACCCCACUACACACAAGCCUCUCUAUUGCCCACAAAAAACAUUCUCCAGUUUGAUGGCGCUCCUGAAAUGCAAAGCUGGGUAGAGAAGUAGGAAGAGGAAAGUUAACACUUUUUGUUUGAAUGGGCAUAAUCCACAGCCCAACAGAAGUCAGAAAUUGAAGCACAUGACUAUGUCCAUUAGUACUACACACAGGUGUGCAAUGACGAAACAGCAAAUGACAGAUUUGGCCUCAAAAUAAAGUAACUUGUAAGAUACAAACCUGAAGAACUUCCAUCAAAAUGGAAAAAGGCAAAAUACCUAAACAAGAAACCACCAAAGACAUCACUGCCAUUUACCUUCAACCCUCAGCCAGGGACUUGGCAUGACAUGUUCCAAGUGGACGGGUAUCAUCCACAUAGGCUCUGCUCAUCUACUCCAAGGCAUUUUGAAACCUUUCAUAGGAUCUCUUAUCAUCUCAGCACUUGGAGUUUUCUUGAUAAAUAUCUUGCUGCAACGAACAUUAUCACAAGUACAUCUUGACACAAAUACACUCCUGCUUAUUUUCUUAGGAUAAAUCCUUAGAAGUGGUACUUCUGGAUCAACGGGCAAACAGGGCUUAUUUUAUAGCCUUAUGAUGAGGAUUACCAACCAGCUCUCAUAAAAGUAGCAACAAUUUACACACCCAACAAGUCUCCAGUUUUAUCUGCUUUGUACACAGACACUUCCCUUAACUUUGUUAAUCUAAUCAAUAAAAAUGGUCUCUCA
Molecule: non-coding RNA, 6017 nt
Organism: Ictidomys tridecemlineatus (thirteen-lined ground squirrel)
Lineage: Eukaryota; Metazoa; Chordata; Mammalia; Rodentia; Sciuridae
Source: RefSeq, a predicted model, not a curated record